RNAcentral lists this ribosomal RNA (494 nucleotides) under uncultured bacterium. Its description in RNAcentral is "partial 16S ribosomal RNA". It matches the Rfam family "Bacterial small subunit ribosomal RNA", at positions 28 to 507 of the family's 1533-position model. The record is from RNAcentral.
GACGAACGCUGGCGGCGCGCUUAACACAUGCAAGUCGAACGGAAAGGCCUGCUUUCCCUUGUGGAUUGCGGGUACUCGAGUGGCGAACGGGUGAGUAACACGUGAGUGAUCUGCCCCCAACUUGGGUAUAAGCCUGGGAAACUGGGUCUAAUUCCCGAUAGGACUGCAGGGUGGUGCCUGUGGUGGAAAACGAUUUUCUAGUGGUUGGGGAUGAGCUCGCGGCCUAUCAGCUUGUUGGUGGGGUAAUGGCCUACCAAGGCGGCGACGGGUAGCCGGCCUGGGAGGGUGGACGGCCACCUUGGGACUGAGAUACUGCCCAGACUCCUACGGGAGGCAGCAGUGGGGAAUAUUGCACGAUGGUCGGAAGCCUGAUGCAGCGACGCCGCGUGGGGAAUGACGGCCUUCGGGUUGUAAACUCCUUUCGACCGCGAGGAAGCCACCUGGUUGGAAGGGUGGUGACGGUAGUGGUAGAAGAAGCACCGGCUAACUACGUG